Molecule: ribosomal RNA, 600 nt
Filed under: uncultured bacterium
Lineage: Bacteria
Description: bacterial SSU rRNA
Rfam family: Bacterial small subunit ribosomal RNA
Source: RNAcentral
GAACGGGCGAUUGACGCUGAGGCACGAAAGCGUGGGGAUCAAACAGGAUUAGAUACCCUGGUAGUCCACGCAGUAAACGAUGAUAACUAACCGUUGGUUUUACGGAAUCAGUGGCCAAGCGAAAGCGAUAAGUUAUCCACCUGGGGAGUACGACCGCAAGGUUGAAACUCAAAGGAAUUGACGGGGGCCCGCACAAGCGGAGGAACAUGUGGUUUAAUUCGAUGAUACGCGAGGAACCUUACCCGGGCUCGAACGGCAGAGGAACAAUCCAGAGAUGGUGCGGCCCUACGGGGCUUCUGUCGAGGUGCUGCAUGGUUGUCGUCAGCUCGUGCCGUGAGGUGUCGGCUCAAGUGCCAUAACGAGCGCAACCCUUGCCGGUAGUUACCAGCAUGUAAUGAUGGGGACUCUACCGGGACUGCCACCGCAAGGUGUGAGGAAGGGGGGGAUGACGUCAAAUCAGCACGGCCCUUACGUCCGGGGCGACACACGUGUUACAAUGGCGGUGACAGAGGGGAGCUACCUGGUGACAGGAUGGGAAUCUCGAAAAGCCGCCUCAGUUCGGAUCGGAGUCUGCAACCCGGCUCCGUGAAGCCGGAUUCG